Molecule: ribosomal RNA, 452 nt
Filed under: uncultured bacterium
Lineage: Bacteria
Description: bacterial SSU rRNA
Rfam family: Bacterial small subunit ribosomal RNA
Source: RNAcentral
AACGAACGCUGGCGGCAGGCUUAACACAUGCAAGUCGAACGGGUGUAGCAAUACAUCAGUGGCAGACGGGUGAGUAACACGUGGGAACCUUCCUAGGGGUACGGAACAACUCAGGGAAACUUGAGCUAAUACCGUAUACGUCCGUGAGGAGAAAGAUUUAUCGCCCUUAGACGGGCCCGCGUCGGAUUAGCUAGUUGGUGGGGUAACGGCCUACCAAGGCGACGAUCCGUAGCUGAUCUUAGAGGAUGAUCAGCCACACUGGGACUGAGACACGGCCCAGACUCCUACGGGAGGCAGCAGUGGGGAAUCUUGGACAAUGGGCGCAAGCCUGAUCCAGCCAUGCCGCGUGAGUGAAGAAGGUCUUCGGAUUGUAAAGCUCUUUUGCCAGGGACGAUAAUGACGGUACCCGAAUAAGAAGCACCGGCUAACUACGUGCCAGCAGCCGCGGUAAU